UACGUAGGGGGCAAGCGUUGUCCGGAAUCAUUGGGCGUAAAGAGCGCGUAGGCGGCCCGGUAAGUCCGCCGUGAAAGUCAAGGGCUCAACCCUGGGAUGCCGGUGGAAACUGUCGGGCUAGAGUCCGGAAGAGGCGAGUGGAAUUCCUGGUGUAGCGGUGAGAUGCGCAGAUAUCAGGAGGAACACCGAUGGCGAAGGCAGCUCGCUGGGACGGUACUGACGCUGAGGUGCGAAAGCGUGGGGAGCAAACAGG
Molecule: ribosomal RNA, 253 nt
Filed under: uncultured bacterium
Lineage: Bacteria
Description: partial 16S ribosomal RNA
Rfam family: Bacterial small subunit ribosomal RNA
Source: RNAcentral